This 672-nucleotide long non-coding RNA is filed under the name Eutrema salsugineum. RNAcentral's name for it is "long non-coding RNA (ESAL_LNC000034)". Lineage: Eukaryota; Viridiplantae; Streptophyta; Magnoliopsida; Brassicales; Brassicaceae. The record is from RNAcentral.
AAAAAAAAAAAAAUAUCUAACUUCUUAAAGUAAGAUAUUUUAGAUUAAGGUAGUUCAAUUUCAAAGAGAUUAUACGUCUGUCGACUGUCGGGUAUAUUUUGGAUUACAAUAUGUUAUACUUCUUUUUGAAUAUGCUAAAACUUAAAAAUAUUAUAUUAUCUAUUAUGUUAACUUCUUUUGCAAUGAUGUUAAAUUGUUUUUUUUUUGAGAAAGGGUUUAAUUAUGUUAAGAGGUUUGUGGCGGGAAAUGGCGAGAGUUUGAGAAGGAAACGGGAAAGAGGCGAGAGGGCGAAGUUGAAGGCAAGAGGACAUGACAUUAAGAUUUUUCUCGAAAAUGUCGUCUCUCGACCUCUGUACUUGUGUGACUAUGUGAGUGUGAGUCGAAAAGAUUGUUAUUAUUUGGUUGUGCUAUCUGUGGAGUUAUUUUCUUAUUUGUUUUUGUUUGUUUAAUACUGUUGGUUUAGGUUACGUUAAGUGUUUAACUUUUUUCUGAAUAUUCCUUUUAAAUGUUUGCAGUUUGGACCAUUUGGAAGAUACCAUUACCACGGUUAUAUCACGGCUAUGAGAGGCACUUACAUGCCUUACACAGUGGAAAAAACUACACUUCUACCACGGUGCAUAUUCCAACCAGCUAUAGGCCCAACUCUUACUGAAACCAGAAAUCAAAUUUUAG